Molecule: long non-coding RNA, 474 nt
Filed under: Androctonus crassicauda
Lineage: Eukaryota; Metazoa; Arthropoda; Arachnida; Scorpiones; Buthidae
Source: RNAcentral
GCGGGAUCUCCACGCGGUGCUGAUGGUUGUUGGGUCGGGUCUAUUAAUCGGCUUAAUUUUGGCCAAUCUAAUCAUGUAUAUCGCUAUCGCUUCUGCCACUCUACCUCUUCUCGGGUCAUGUUGUUCGCACAUAAGUUUUGACUAGUUCCACUUGAUAGUUAUAUCCGAUGACAAGGCCUUUUGCGCUAGUGUCGUCGUCGAUGCUCCUUUUUCGAUAUCUUUCUUGUGCUCAGUCAUACAUUUGUUCAGCGACCUUGAGGUGUGUCCGAUGUGUCUACACUCCUGAUCGGGCAUGUUGUCUAUCAGUGGAGUUUCGUGUGUGCCUGGUCUUGAGGUGCUGGGUCUUCUAUCUUUGUCAUUUCUCGGUGGGUUGAGGGCCGUGUUCUUCCUGUUGAGUGCUGCUCGCGAGUCGGUGCAUUUUUCAAUUCUUUGUCUGUGCCUCAAGGUGGGUGGGUUGGUUUCGAUAUUAACGAG